AACGCACAUUGCGCCCGGUGGUAUUCCGCCGGGCAUGCCUGUUCGAGCGUCAUUUAAACCAAUCUAGCUUCGUGCUUAGGUCUUGGGCCUUUCGCCUCUGGGCGGGCCUUAAAAUCAGUGGCGGUGCCCUCUGGCUCUAAGCGUAGUAAUACUUCUCGCUAUAGACGUCAGGUGGUAUCUCGCCAGUAACCCCUAAUUUUUAAAGGUUGACCUCGGAUCAGGUGGGGAUACCCGCUGAACUUAA
RNAcentral lists this unclassified non-coding RNA (244 nucleotides) under Helotiaceae sp. Its description in RNAcentral is "partial contains 5.8S ribosomal RNA, internal transcribed spacer 2, and large subunit ribosomal RNA". The stretch from base 1 to 52 matches the Rfam family "5.8S ribosomal RNA", at positions 103 to 154 of the family's 154-position model. The record is from RNAcentral. Lineage: Eukaryota; Fungi; Ascomycota; Leotiomycetes; Helotiales; Helotiaceae.